GUGGGGAAUUUUGGACAAUGGGCGAAAGCCUGAUCCAGCCAUGCCGCGUGCAGGAUGAAGGCCUUCGGGUUGUAAACUGCUUUUGUACGGAACGAAAAGACUCCUUCUAAUAAAGGGGGUCCAUGACGGUACCGUAAGAAUAAGCACCGGCUAACUACGUGCCAGCAGCCGCGGUAAUACGUAGGGUGCAAGCGUUAAUCGGAAUUACUGGGCGUAAAGCGUGCGCAGGCGGUUAUAUAAGACAGAUGUGAAAGCCCCGGGCUCAACCUGGGAACUGCAUUUGUGACUGUAUAGCUAGAGUACGGUAGAGGGGGAUGGAAUUCCGCGUGUAGCAGUGAAAUGCGUAGAUAUGCGGAGGAACACCGAUGGCGAAGGCAAUCCCCUGGGCCUGCACUGACGCUCAUGCACGAAAGCGUGGGGAGCAAAAAGGAUUAGAUACCCUGGUAGUCC
Molecule: ribosomal RNA, 450 nt
Filed under: uncultured bacterium
Lineage: Bacteria
Description: bacterial SSU rRNA
Rfam family: Bacterial small subunit ribosomal RNA
Source: RNAcentral